Mesocricetus auratus (golden hamster) is the source of this 114-nucleotide non-coding RNA. The record is from Rfam. NCBI's taxonomy places the organism in Eukaryota, Metazoa, Chordata, Mammalia, Rodentia, Cricetidae.
GUUGGCUAUGGAGACAUGGCACCCGUGACCGUGGGUGGCAAGAUCGUGGGCUCUCUGUGUGCCAUCGCGGGUGUCCUCACCAUUUCUCUCCCUGUGCCCGUCAUUGUCUCCAAC